CUGUAUAUUUUCAGGUUCCCGGACGGGGGACGACGCUGGAGGACGACGCUGGAGGACGACGUUGGAGGACCAAGGCCGGCCAACAGAAGAAGAGGAAUUUAUUGUCUAGUUAUGUACAGUGCAUCCUAUUAGUGAAAAGGCGGAAGACAGUUAACGCUGAUCCAGAUGCCUUAGUGAGACAGAGCUUGUCUCCCAUUCAACUGGAGCCCCCUACUGGAAGAUGCGGAUGCAGACCGAUGGGGCCCGUCAGAAGAUGAACGCAAGGAGCCGAUUCCGCAACCAGGAAGCCUAUUAGAGAAGUGCCAUUUAUGUCUCCCUUUCUUAUUUUUUGUCUGUUUCCUGUAUCCUCCCUACGCUAACAUAACUAAAACUUAUCUUCUCCUCCCCAUCCUCUUCCUCCAUUUUACUCUUUCCUGAUCUAAUUGCUUAAAUUGUCUUCAUUUUCUUAAUCGAUUUGUUCAUCUCAUCUUCGUUUAAUGUUUGUGUUUAUGUCAAUUUCUCGAAUUAUUUGUGUUUAUUGUGUUGAGUUUUUACUAAUUUUGUUCUAGCUGUAUAUUUUCAGGUUCCCGGACGGGGGACGACGCUGGAGGACGACGCUGGAGGACGACGUUGGAGGACCAAGGCCGGCCAACAGAAGAAGAGGAAUUUAUUGUCUAGUUAUGUACAGUGCAUCCUAUUAGUGAAAAGGCGGAAGACAGUUAACGCUGAUCCAGAUGCCUUAGUGAGACAGAGCUUGUCUCCCAUUCAACUGGAGCCCCCUACUGGAAGAUGCGGAUGCAGACCGAUGGGGCCCGUCAGAAGAUGAACGCAAGGAGCCGAUUCCGCAACCAGGAAGCCUAUUAGAGAAGUGCCAUUUAUGUCUCCCUUUCUUAUUUUUUGUCUGUUUCCUGUAUCCUCCCUACGCUAACAUAACUAAAACUUAUCUUCUCCUCCCCAUCCUCUUCCUCCAUUUUACUCUUUCCUGAUCU
Molecule: long non-coding RNA, 968 nt
Organism: Saccostrea cuccullata (small rock oyster)
Lineage: Eukaryota; Metazoa; Mollusca; Bivalvia; Ostreida; Ostreidae
Exons: 5
Source: RefSeq, a predicted model, not a curated record